This 774-nucleotide ribosomal RNA is filed under the name uncultured Neocallimastigales. Its description in RNAcentral is "partial large subunit ribosomal RNA". It matches the Rfam family "Eukaryotic large subunit ribosomal RNA", at positions 24 to 646 of the family's 3401-position model. The record is from RNAcentral. Lineage: Eukaryota; Fungi; Neocallimastigomycota; Neocallimastigomycetes; Neocallimastigales.
UAUGUGAUCGUCUCUCGCAUAUCAAUAAGCGGAGGAAAAGAAACUAACAAGGAUUCCCCUAGUAACGGCGAGUGAAGCGGGAAGAGCUCAAAUUUGAAAUCUUAAAGGGUUCCCUUUACGAAUUGUAGUUUAAAGAAGUGUUUUCUGUUGAGGUUUUGGUAAAAGUUCUUUGGAAUAGGACAUCAUAGAGGGUGAGAAUCCCGUAUUUGACCUUUACUUUCAACUUUGUGAUACACUUUCAGAGAGUCGGAUUGUUUGGGAAUGCAGUCCAAAAUGGGUGGUAAAUUUCAUCUAAAGCUAAAUAUUGGCGAGAGACCGAUAGCGAACAAGUACCGUGAGGGAAAGAUGAAAAGAACUUUGAAAAGAGAGUUAAACAGUACGUGAAAUUGUCAAAAGGGAAGCGUUUGACACCAGUGUUGUUUUUCUGAAAAUCAAUUAAAGAACUGUUUAUGCUAAGUUGUUUAGACUUUAUCAGCUAACUGUUUAGUUUUGAGCUUUUCUUUAAUGCACUUUUCAGUUAACAAGUCAACAUCAAUUUCUUUUGCUGUAAAAAAGCUUGAGGAAGGUGGCUUGAGAUUCGUCUUAAGUGUUUAUAGCCUCUUGCCUAUGCAGUCGGAGAGAUUGAGGGUCUGCAGCGUAGAUCCUUCGGGGCUAAAUGCAUUUGUGCUAAGUCAUAGCAUUUUAUAGACAACUUGUUGACUAUGAUUUGUCUUGUAGCUUACUCGCUUAUGUUAUUUUACCUACGCUUAGGAUGUUGACGAGACUGUCGAUCUC